Molecule: long non-coding RNA, 1003 nt
Organism: Gymnogyps californianus (California condor)
Lineage: Eukaryota; Metazoa; Chordata; Aves; Accipitriformes; Cathartidae
Exons: 4
Source: RefSeq, a predicted model, not a curated record
GCCUGAAAAGGGGUUGUUGUCAUGCCUGGGCACAGGAGCUUGAGCUCAGCUCCUCCCUUGGCCAGCUUGGCAGAUCCUACCUUUCUGAAGGGACAUCACAGCCAUGUGACUGCAGGGCUCCGGGCUGAAGAUACUCCAUUUCUGAGACUCCUUUGUAAAGCAGACAGCAUUUGAUAGAACCGUUUGUUCUAAUUGGAACUAAACUUGCUGCUGCAUUGAAAUGGAAUAUGAGGUCUACAGGACUCAAACUGGAACAACGGGUAUAUCCUCUCUGCUCUAAUGCCUCCAAUCAUGUUAAGUCAAGUUAACUGGAAAAUCAAUUGACAUGAAUUCCAGCAUGACCAUUAACUGCCAUCCGGCUGGGCCCCGGGAGACUGGCCAAGAUGAAGCAGAUUUCUAACAGCGAUGGAGCAGAACUCUGCGUGUUCAUCUCCUAGAGAUGCCUUCAACCCGAGGUCUUCCUAGCAAUGCCCACGUUGCCCUGAGUAAUUACUGUGGCUAACGGAGAGCCCAGGGGGUCAGGCAGUCUGGGAUUGAUUAUGGGCUCUGCCCUUGGCUUUCCAGGGCAAGCGAUGCAGCUGCUCUGUACACUCCUGCUGGCACAGUCACAUUUGUCAAAAGCAUAAAGGAAAUGAGUGAGACCUGGACUGACCGAGCUGACCAGACGGAUCCCUUGAGUACAUAGAAAAGUAUUGUAGCAGCAAAACUGUGUUUUCCACAGCACAGCUCAAUUUCUCCUGCAGAGGAUGUUUCUGCUCUGUUGGUAAAAAGCAGAGCUUUGCUGAUGUGGCUUUGCUCACGCAAGAAGCAUUUUGCUGCUAGAGUGGACCUGAAUUUCUCUCUAAAUGUUUCUCGCAGGCUUUACCCGUAUGUCUCUGCGUCCUGCCUUGCAUCAGGGAUAAUGAUAUCAAUCUCAUUCUGAGAAAGGCAUAAAGCUCUUUUCAUAUGUUUGCAAUGCACAUUAGACCCAUGGACAAAGGCUAUCCUAAGCACAAAAUCUCAU